CGAUGAUAACUAGCCGUUGGGGGGAUUUACCCCUUAGUGGCGAAGCUAACGCGUUAAGUUAUCCGCCUGGGGAGUACGGCCGCAAGGUUAAAACUCAAAGGAAUUGACGGGGACCCGCACAAGCGGUGGAGCAUGUGGUUUAAUUCGAUGCAACGCGAAGAACCUUACCUGGUCUUGACAUCCUGCGAACUUUCUAGAAAUAGAUUGGUGCCUUCGGGAACGCAGUGACAGGUGCUGCAUGGCUGUCGUCAGCUCGUGUCGUGAGAUGUUGGGUUAAGUCCCGUAACGAGCGCAACCCCUAUCCUUAUUUGCCAGCACAUCAUGGUGGGAACUAUAAGGAGACUGCCGGUGAUAAACCGGAGGAAGGCGGGGACGACGUCAAGUCAUCAUGGCCCUUACGACCAGGGCUACACACGUGCUACAAUGGGAAGGACAAAGAGCCGCGAAGCCGCGAGGUGUAGCUAAUCUCAGAAACCUUUUCGUAGUCCGGAUUGGAGUCUGCAACUCGACUCCAUGAAGUCGGAAUCGCUAGUAAUCGUAGAUCAGAAUGCUACGGUGAAUACGUUCCCGGGUCUUGUACACACCGCCCGUCAUACCAUGGGAGUGGGUUGCACCAGAAGUGGCUAGUCUAACUUUAUUGAGGACGGUCACCACGGUGUGAUUCAUGACUGGGGUAAAGUCGUAACAAGGUAACC
RNAcentral lists this ribosomal RNA (695 nucleotides) under uncultured bacterium. Its description in RNAcentral is "bacterial SSU rRNA". It matches the Rfam family "Bacterial small subunit ribosomal RNA", at positions 807 to 1501 of the family's 1533-position model. The record is from RNAcentral.